GGGGUGGUACUGACUUAAGAAAGUGGUGUUGAUUUGCAAGGUGAAACUGACUUGGGGAGGUGGUACCUCAGCACCCUGCGAGAAGAACACAAGGAACUGAACUGCAGUGGGAUUCGAACCCGGGGAAUGGUGCUGCCCAUGAUGGAUGGCAUUGCCUCACAGGCACGCCCACUGGCCAACCUGAUCUAGGUGUCCCUCACUGAGAUUCUCCUCGCAGAUACAAACUUGUAGAAGAGAAGGUCUAACCAAGCUGGCCUGGGCUGUGGACAACCACCACAUGGGCAAAUGGGAAGGAGUGGUCAACAGCGCACUACGCUAUGCAGGAUGGAGACAAGGCAGCACCUUUACCAGGGGAGAGAGUACCCCAAGUUCAUUAUCAUCUCCUGUGCUUCUAUAGCCACCUCUCACAUGGAGGGUGCUUUUGAUUCUCUCUUAGCGUCUGUCUAGGCACUAGUCCAGGAGGACAGAAAAAGGACUCCACUGUCUUAUGUUCAGAGACAAUAUGGAAGCUCCCAGACCAGAGCAUGACUGAUACUCAAUAAAUAUUGAGCAAUUGA
Mesocricetus auratus (golden hamster) is the source of this 557-nucleotide long non-coding RNA. RefSeq lists it as uncharacterized. The record is from RefSeq and is a predicted model, not a curated record. The transcript is spliced from 3 exons. NCBI's taxonomy places the organism in Eukaryota, Metazoa, Chordata, Mammalia, Rodentia, Cricetidae.